This 97-nucleotide signal recognition particle RNA is filed under the name archaeon. Its description in RNAcentral is "signal recognition particle sRNA small type". It matches the Rfam family "Bacterial small signal recognition particle RNA". Rfam says of the family: The signal recognition particle (SRP) is a universally conserved ribonucleoprotein involved in the co-translational targeting of proteins to membranes. RNAcentral also lists the same sequence under 1 other name. The record is from RNAcentral.
CGCUUUGUCCGCUUCGAUCCUACAAUUGUGAAUCGGGUCAGGCCUUGACGGGAGCAGCCCUAAUCAUUUGUUUGGGUGCUUAGCGGGUCACAAAGUU